This is a non-coding RNA of Peromyscus maniculatus bairdii (prairie deer mouse), 1701 nucleotides long. The record is from RefSeq and is a predicted model, not a curated record. NCBI's taxonomy places the organism in Eukaryota, Metazoa, Chordata, Mammalia, Rodentia, Cricetidae.
AAAUGGGGACACCCAGCUCCAUGAGCAUCCACAUUUCCCACCAGGCAGUUUGGUGAUGCAAGAAUGACUGACUAGCUGUUUUACAUCCUUUCCUACCAUCAAGACUGAUGAGGAAAACACCUCACAGAGCACUGCAAAGUCAUGCCUUCCCAUGGUUGCUGUGAGGUACUUAAAGGCAUCAUGGAGACCAUGCUGGCCUGGGAUGGUAGCGGAUGUAAGAGGCUGAAGAGCGGUGUAUACCUGAGUCCUCGCUGGAGUUCUAGUGCACCUACGCAAGGGAUGUCAUUGUCUAGGAGGGUGGCUGAGACAAGGGAGUAGCAACAAGGUUUAUAAGGAGCAGGUGAGCCGAGCAUGUCCUGGGGCAGUUCUGAAGGUCCAGGCACAACAGAAGAAACUUAGGCAGCUCUAUGCACAGUGGGUGACCAAACCAUGGUGACUUUUGCUUCUACCAUAGAAGUCCUGCUCUCCAUGUUGCCUGAAAUCUAGCAGAACUGAAAUGCAAAGCUAUGGAUUUACGAAGAACCACUUAAAGCAAGUUUUAGGGGCUGGGAAGAUGGUUCAAUAAGCCAAGUGCCUCUCAUGCAAGCAUGGGGACAGGAAUUUGGAUUCCCAGAGCUCAAGUAAAAGGCCAAGCAUGUCAGUGUACCCUUGUAAAUCCUGUACUGAGGGGAAAGGGAGGAGAGAGGUGGAUAGAUGAAGCCCAUUGGCUAGCAGCCUAGCCAAAUCAAGGAGCUCCAGGUUCAGUGGGAAACCUUGUCUCAAAGAAUAAAAGACGCGGAGUUACUGAAGAUUGACCCAAGGUCAAUCUCUGACCUCGAUGGGCACACACACGGGCCCAUGUACCCACACUAACACACACAACACACACAUAUUUAUGGGUCAAAAAUAUCAGUUACUUAUUGCCACACAAAAAAUUACUCCGAGAAUUACUUAAUAAAAUAUCAGCAUUUACCAUUUCACACUAUCUCAAGGUCAGAAAUUUGGGAGCAGUUUGACUGGGUUGAGUCAUCUCCAGGGGCCCAAGAAUUACAGUCAGAGCUAUGGAACCUGGACCAGCUGACUAGGGCCACUGUCACCCGAAGGCUCCAAUGAGCUACAGUGUCUACUUUCAGGAUGGCUAACUCACAUGGCUGUCAAGUUGGUGCAGGCUAGUGUGGCUGUUGGGUGCCACACACUCUAUACACAGGCCCUCACACUCCAGAGACAACCCUCUCCCAGAACAAGUGAUCUGACCGAGCAUGCUAGAAUCCAUCAUGUUGUUUACAAUCUAGCCUUGGAAUGAGUCAUAGUCCAUCCUUUCUGCAAUGCUCUAUUGUUUACACAAAAUUCAUCUCCCUGUUUGGCACAGAAGGACAGUCAAGAUGUGAGGGUCUUGGAGGACAAUGGCCACACCAUGGAAAAUGCAAAAAUACAGAUAACUCAUUCUUGGAAAAGAGGACUAACUGAAAUCCUCAGAAGUCCAGUCUUGCUCAAGUUUCAAACCCUCCAUCCUGCAUUUCAACCAGAAGUACAGCAGAAAUGAUUGAACUCCACCUUCCUUUGGCUCUCGGCCACUGCUACCCACAAAGCAUCGGAGUGUGCUCCAAGGCAUGAAAUAAAAGGAAGAACACCUCUUAUAAAAAGAAAAUGGCUCUGAUGAGUGGAAGAUGUGAAUAUUAACAAGAAUGAGAUUUGUUCACAGCUAUGAUGUAAGUAAUGGAC